Pelobates cultripes (western spadefoot toad) is the source of this 109-nucleotide non-coding RNA. Lineage: Eukaryota; Metazoa; Chordata; Amphibia; Anura; Pelobatidae. The record is from the annotation of a GenBank genome assembly.
AAGCUUGAAUUAUAUUCGACCCCUUAGGGCCUUUGUCAAGCUUUGUCUGGCAGUCAGUAUAGAGAGAGCCACCUUGACAAAGGCCCUAAGGGGUCGAACCGUUGCUUUC